Long non-coding RNA from Musa acuminata AAA Group (dessert banana), 2674 nucleotides. RefSeq lists it as uncharacterized. The transcript has 8 exons. NCBI's taxonomy places the organism in Eukaryota, Viridiplantae, Streptophyta, Magnoliopsida, Zingiberales, Musaceae. The record is from RefSeq and is a predicted model, not a curated record.
GCCGUCCCUAACGGUCAAAGAGAACAAGAGACCGAUCGCCGUGCGUUCGCCUUGUCGCCUCAAAGCGGCUUCCGCUUCAUGUCGUCGUGACAACGGUGAGCAGACCUAACAUUCCUCUCCGUGAGCCACGAUUCAUGUGCCAUCGCUUGGCCUUGCACAUGGAUGGUGCUCUAGAAUGCAGUGCAGCCGCGGCACUGCUUUGCUCUGGAAUGAGAUGAAGCAUGGUUCGUUCGGUGUUACGUGCUUAUGGUCAUGGGUUCGGAUCCUUGUCGAGAUGGUGCCCAAAUAUGUUACCCAGAUGGUGUUGAGUCAAAGAAAGACAUUGGAGCACGAAGGGUAGAGUGGAGCAUCUUUUGGAAAAAAUUUUGAGAUGUCAAAAGGCCAGCUUUUACGAGCAGAGUUGUUCGGAUCAACACACACAAUGAACAUCCAACUGAGAGAAGCAUGUACACCAAGAAGAGAAACUUGAGUCCGACUGUAGAUUCGGUAGUUGUAGAUGGAGGAGAAGUCCAUGCCAUCCAAUAGUUGCUUGCUACUUGCAGUACCUGGAAAAAUAUAUGUGCUAUGACUAUUAUGGGAACCAAGGCUCCUCCUCGGACUGCAGUCAGCAUAAUCAUUUAAGGAAAAAGAAGUUCAGCAGUUCCGUUUUACCAGGAUAAGGUCUGCUACUGGAAGAAAUUCGACUUGAUGGGUAACAUAAAGCACAGUUUUGUCUCUGAGGACACCCAUCAAACAAUCCUGCAGAGGAAGGACAAAUCUUUUAAACAACAUGCAAAGAGUUUUACAUACUGGAAAGAUUGUGAGAGAGCAGAGGGAGGGUAUCAUUUGUUUAAAGGAUAUUUUUAGAAGACAACCUUGAACAGUUGAGUGCCUGUAUGAGCAUCCAAAGCACUGAAAGGGUCAUCAAGAAGGUCCCCAUUAGCAAAGAGUUCAAAAUCCUUCUUCAAUGCACAAACUUCAAUUAUCUUUUCGUACUUUUCAUUGUCAAAAGGAAUACCGAAGACAAUGUUUUCUCUGACAUUUCCUGAUAGUAUCCAUGGAGAUUGUGAAACAUAUGCCUUGCUGCCACUGACUUUUACACUCCCUCCAAGCUUUGGUAUUUCUCCAAGGAUGCAUGAGAGUAAACUAGACUUUCCCGAACCAACAGUACCACAAAUAGCCACCUUCAUUCCUCUACGCACCUUCAAAUGUAUAUUUUCAAGUGUGGGGCAUCCAGAGUCUUGGUUCCAGCUAAAUGUCCCACGAUCAAUCUCAACAGCAACCUCUGCUUCAUUUCUGGGGACAAUUUCAACCACAUCGGCUCUCAUUUCGUCUUCUAGCAGCAUUCCGAAUGUUGCCAAUGCAGACAAAACUCUUCCUGCAGUUAGAGGGAUUCCUAUGAUUAUACAUGUUCCGAAAGUCACCACUGAUAUGAACAUCGGUGCUCCCCAGGAUAUAAAAGAUGAAAUUGCUUUCAGUCUUAGAGACAUCCACAGCCAAUUGUGCUCAGUGUUUCUCAGGCCUUCUAACUUGUGAAGUUAAGGGAAUAUUGCAUACCAUUAUCAUUGUUGUUGCUGCUAAUGCAGCCAAAGCUCCAACUCCAAGAUUUUUAUGAAGAACAUAUAUUGCUAGUGCAAGCUGGACAGGAAGCAUCCAAAUGAUGUUUGAAAACCACAUCAGGUCAGUAAUCCUUUGGAUAUCCACACUCAUGUAGUUGAUAAUCUCCCCACUUGUUAGGCUCUGCCGAGACUGGCUUGAUAAUACGAUGCCCUUUUUGUAUAUAUGGGAUAUUAGAACAGCUCUUAACCGCAUUACAAGCUGUAGGGCUCCAAACAUCCAUUGUCUGUGACACAUGGUCUCUACAACUUUGGCACCAAGAAAUGCUAGUGCAAGUAUGUAGCCACUCUUCAAUCCGUGCUGCCUGUCUCCUCCUAAGAGCCUAACGAAGUUGUCAAUCAGUGAAGGUCCAACAUAAGAGGCCCCUGCAGCUGCAACUGCAAAGCUUGCAUUGACUGCUGCCUUCUUCCAGAUGAACAAGAAGAUUGCUCUGUAGAUAGAUGAAGUUCUUAAGCCAUAUCUUUCUUUGACGUUAUUUAGGCAACAGUUGAAUGAGUGAGACAAGAACUCAGCACAAUCAUUUUUAUCAAUAUCUGGUACUUCAUUCUGCUCUAGAGGUUUCCUCUUUCCAGUAGCGAGAAGUGGGUUAAGCCAUGAGAAGGUCACAAGUUGUACAAGACUUGCGCUCCCGUACAAGGAGCUCCUCUUGUUCUCAGCAUGCGUCUCCUUUGAUGUUUGCACUUGCAACAAUGGUUCUUUCAAGCUAUUGGAGUCAACUGACGUGCAAGGAAAGAGACUUGUUACCUAUGUAUGUUGUUCUAGUCCUAAGAAUGACUUUGCUAGAAGAAUGGAGUGUAUGUAUAUCAAGAACAGGCACAAAUAGAUGACUACAAAAGCUGCAUAUGAAGGUUUGGGCAAUGUGUUGAAUCUAUAAGGUACUCAGUGGGACAUCAACAGGAAGGUGUCGAAUUAUCCGUGUAUCCAUUUGUAUUUUGUCAUGCAGAGGGAGUUUAGGCAUAAUGUCAUAUUCAUAUGAGCAAUCCAAUCAAAUUAUCUGUCAUGAACAUUAUUGUAUGCUUAAUGAUCAGAUUCAGUGCAUCAUUAUUGACGAAUGUUGCAUUGGUCAGAUUCAACGUUA